Molecule: ribosomal RNA, 1440 nt
Filed under: uncultured bacterium
Lineage: Bacteria
Description: bacterial SSU rRNA
Rfam family: Bacterial small subunit ribosomal RNA
Source: RNAcentral
AGAGUUUGAUCCUGGCUCAGGAUGAACGCCGGCGGUGUGCCUAAUACAUGCAAGUCGUACGCACUGGCCCAACUGAUUGAUGGUGCUUGCACCUGAUUGACGUUGGAUCACCAGUGAGUGGCGGACGGGUGAGUAACACGUAGGUAACCUGCCCCGGAGCGGGGGAUAACAUUUGGAAACAGAUGCUAAUACCGCAUAACAACAAAAGCCACAUGGCUUUUGUUUGAAAGAUGGCUUUGGCUAUCACUCUGGGAUGGACCUGCGGUGCAUUAGCUAGUUGGUAAGGUAACGGCUUACCAAGGCGAUGAUGCAUAGCCGAGUUGAGAGACUGAUCGGCCACAAUGGAACUGAGACACGGUCCAUACUCCUACGGGAGGCAGCAGUAGGGAAUCUUCCACAAUGGGCGCAAGCCUGAUGGAGCAACACCGCGUGAGUGAAGAAGGGUUUCGGCUCGUAAAGCUCUGUUGUUGGAGAAGAACGUGCGUGAGAGUAACUGUUCACGCAGUGACGGUAUCCAACCAGAAAGUCACGGCUAACUACGUGCCAGCAGCCGCGGUAAUACGUAGGUGGCAAGCGUUAUCCGGAUUUAUUGGGCGUAAAGCGAGCGCAGGCGGUUGCUUAGGUCUGAUGUGAAAGCCUUCGGCUUAACCGAAGAAGUGCAUCGGAAACCGGGCGACUUGAGUGCAGAAGAGGACAGUGGAACUCCAUGUGUAGCGGUGGAAUGCGUAGAUAUAUGGAAGAACACCAGUGGCGAAGGCGGCUGUCUGGUCUGCAACUGACGCUGAGGCUCGAAAGCAUGGGUAGCGAACAAAAUUAGAUACCCUGGUAGUCCAUGCCGUAAACGAUCAGUAAAAAGGUGUUGGAAGGGUUUUCCGCCCUUCCAUGCCGGAACUAACGCAUUAAGCACUCCCGCCCGGGGGAGUACGAACGAAAAGGUUGAAACUCAAAGGAAUUGACGGGGGCCCGCACAAGCGGUGGAGCAUGUGGUUUAAUUCGAAGCUACGCGAAGAACCUUACCAGGUCUUGACAUCUUGCGCUAACCUUAGAGAUAAGGCGUUCCCUUCGGGGACGCAAUGACAGGUGGUGCAUGGUCGUCGUCAGCUCGUGUCGUGAGAUGUUGGGUUAAGUCCCGCAACGAGCGCAGCCCUUGUUACUAGUUGCCAGCAUUAAGUUGGGCACUCUAGUGAGACUGCCGGUGACAAACCGGAGGAAGGUGGGGACGACGUCAGAUCAUCAUGCCCCUUAUGACCUGGGCUACACACGUGCUACAAUGGACGGUACAACGAGUCGCAAGCUCGCGAGAGUAAGCUAAUCUCUUAAAGCCGUUCUCAGUUCGGACUGUAGGCUGCAACUCGCCUACACGAAGUCGGAAUCGCUAGUAAUCGCGGAUCAGCAUGCCGCGGUGAAUACGUUCCCGGGCCUUGCACAAAGCGCCCGUCA